RNAcentral lists this ribosomal RNA (498 nucleotides) under uncultured bacterium. Its description in RNAcentral is "partial 16S ribosomal RNA". It matches the Rfam family "Bacterial small subunit ribosomal RNA", at positions 28 to 507 of the family's 1533-position model. The record is from RNAcentral.
GACGAACGCUGGCGGCGUGCCUAAUACAUGCAAGUCGAACGAGAGCGCCCGGUGCUUGCCCUGGUCAAUCUAGUGGCGAGCGGGUGAGUAACACGUGGGUAACCUGCCCAUCAGAGGGGGAUAACAUCCGGAAACGGAUGCUAAAACCGCAUAGGUCUUCGAGCCGCAUGGCUUGAAGAGGAAAAGAGGCGCAAGCUUCUGCUGAUGGAUGGACCCGCGGUGCAUUAGCUAGUUGGUGAGGUAACGGCUCACCAAGGCCGUGAUGCAUAGCCGACCUGAGAGGGUGAUCGGCCACAUUGGGACUGAGACACGGCCCAAACUCCUACGGGAGGCAGCAGUAGGGAAUCUUCCGCAAUGGACGCAAGUCUGACGGAGCAACGCCGCGUGAGUGAAGAAGGUUUUCGGAUCGUAAAACUCUGUUGUUAGAGAAGAACAAGUGCUAGAGUAACUGUUAGCGCCUUGACGGUAUCUAACCAGAAAGCCACGGCUAACUACGUG